This is a non-coding RNA of Oncorhynchus mykiss (rainbow trout), 2839 nucleotides long. NCBI's taxonomy places the organism in Eukaryota, Metazoa, Chordata, Actinopteri, Salmoniformes, Salmonidae. The record is from RefSeq and is a predicted model, not a curated record.
UCUCCCUUCCAGCCACUCCCACCGACGAGCUCUGUGCUCUCACUCGCCCGUUUAGCUUGAGUUGCUUCAGAUGCUGCAGCUACCGUAGUCGCUAUAUCUCCCCUUAACAGCAGUCAUGGCGACAGAGGUCCAACCGCUCACUCUGGAUCGAGAUGUAGCCAGGGCGAUUGAGCUGCUGGAGAAGCUACAGGAGUCCGGAGACGUCCCGGGUCACAAGCUGCAGUCCCUGAAGUUGGUGUUGCAGAGUGAGUUCUGCACAGCCAUUAGAGAGGUGUACCAGUACAUGCAUGAAACAAUCACAGUCAAUGGCUGUCCGGAGUACCAGGCACGGGCUACAGCGAAGGCCACAGUUGCAGCCUUUGCGGCCAGCGAGGGUCACUCUCACCCCCGAGUGGUGGAGCUGCCCAAGACGGAGGAGGGGCUGGGCUUCAAUGUGAUGGGUGGCAAGGAGCAGAACUCUCCCAUCUAUAUCUCCCGCAUCAUUCCAGGGGGCUUGGCUGAGAGGCAUGGGGGACUGAAGCGAGGGGACCAGCUCCUGUCUGUCAAUGGCGUGAGUGUGGAGGGGGAGCACCACGAGAAGGCGGUGGAGCUUCUGAAGGCAGCCAAGGACAGUGUGAAGCUGGUGGUACGCUACACGCCCAAGGUCCUGGAGGAGAUGGAGGCGCGCUUCGAGAAGCUCCGCACGGCCCGCCGCCGCCAGCAGCAGCAGCUCCUCAUGCAGGCUCAGCAGCAGCAGAACCUCACUACCCAGCAGAACCAUAUGUCGUAGGACUGUAGGUGUUGGCAAGACAGCACAAACCAGAUCUGGGACCACCGAGGAGAAGGAGUUGAACCACACGGAUGAAGAAAACAGCUGGCUGUUCCAAAAGAAGAAGAAGUGAGGGACACUGAAAGGAAGGUUCUGAGUCCAUCUCUAUGUGCUGAGGAUCCCGAAGGAACCACCUGGUAGAGGAGAAUAUGAUACUGUUAAGCAGUGAAGACUCUCUCUCGCCCUUCAAUGUACUACCAACAGAAUGAAGCAAAACUGAAAGAUAUGUGUUCUGAAAUGUAAACAACGGUGCUUGUGACAUGAGAGAUUGGAGGCUAGCACUGAAACCCAUCCUUUUGACUUUUAUUUUGUUUGUGUUCACUUGAAGUUGUCCUCUAACAGUUGAAAGUUGUGACCCUCCACAAUGCUCCUUGUCAUUUGUGAUAGUUUAUUUUUGUUAUCUGUUUUGAAUUCAUUUCACUUGUUUCCUGACUUUGGUUUUGCUAUAUCUUUGAACAAUUAUAUUUCUAUUGUUUCUUCUAUGGGAGCUUGUCCCUGUGUGAAUGAACAUUGCUUUUUUUUGUGUCAAACUUGUCCUGCUUUGGAUAAAUGUGAACUCUUUUUUUUUACCUUAUAUAUAUUGCAACGAGAAAAUAUUUUGUAUGGAAACUUGUAGAUUUAGCAAUAACAGACUUUCGUUGGUUUUACAUUUCACAUAAAAGUAAUGAUUAGAGAUAUACAGUAUGUGGUAAAGAUACAAAAGUUAACAAUGUAAUACUCGGUCAACUGUAUCUUAUGCACUGUGUGUCAUAAGGCAGCUUCUGACAUUAAAAUCAAACGGCUGUUAAAAGAGAGGUAUGUAAAGUGGAUGAAUACACAGAGAUAAUUGUACUCAUACAAUUGAAUACAAGUACAAUUAUCGUAAAAUUUCCUAUCUUGACUUUCAGCUCUGAAGUCAGCCAUUUAAUGAUUGUUAGUCAUCUACUCCCAUCAAAUGAAUAUAUACAGAGAGUAUAUAGAGUAAUCAUAUAAAAUCAGAUCUACAUAUAUCAAUAUAAUUUGAACAUUUGAAUCAUUGAUAUGAGGAAUGUCAAACACAUUUAUAUAUACAUAUUAAUGACCUGGCGGGUUAAUCAAAUGGUACAAUUGUCUUUAUAUUUUAAAUCCAUCUAUUUUAUUGUUUACAAUCUGAGUUUUGCAUAAAGUCAUUUCAUGAAGGUAUGUGUGUGUGUUUGUUAACAUGCAGAUGAUUAUUUAAAAUAUUGAAUUGUACAAGACCUAUAGCCCAGUGUAUAAUUCGUACCAGAAUAGUAUGGUUAAUGGACUCAUUCUCCUGGAUCUGCGUCAUCACCUUUACAUUUUGACAAUCAUUGUGAGUAAGAGACUGUGGAAUGUUCUAGUCGUCUUAUCGAUAAGGGACCUCUGUUUUAAACUCUCUCCUUCAACCCUCUACCUAUCGUCUGACGUAGUAUUCUCAUGACAAGUAACCGUCUUUAAGUAUAACAAGUUGCACUGUGGAUUCAUUCAAAGCUAUUAGAAAACCAGUUGAUGAUCAACACUGAUCAAAAAGGAAUCUUGUAUCUGUAGUACUGUCAGACAAACAAUACAUUGGAUGGUUUUCCUAGUAGCAAACUCUAGUAUGUAUGUUCUAUAUAGGCCUAGUUCCUUUGUGGGUGGGUAUUGAAGUAGUGCAAGAUCAUUUGACAGGCAUACUGUGUGCACUGUGCCAUCCUGAUAGUCCAACCAGAUUGGGCUGUGAACAUGUUUUGUCCCUCAACUUUUGAGCAGUUCAUCUUGCCUCUGACAGAUCCCUUUUGUACAUUUACUUAUUCUCUUUCUUAUUGCCGACUUGCAUUUUUUAGGCUGGACGUACUGUACUUCCUGACUGGACGUACUGUACUUCCUGAUUCAACGUACUGUACUUCCUGAUUCGACGUACUGUACUUCCUGAUUCAACGUACUGUACUUCCUGACUGGACGUACUGUACUCCCUGAUUGUACAAAAAAAAAGACAACACCAGGUGAUAUGCAAUUGUUAUACAUAUUAUAUUUGUAUAAAUAAAUAUAUGUGCGUGUGUACAAUGAUGACUU